UACGGGGGGUGCAAGCGUUGUUCGGAAUUACUGGGCGGAAAGGGCUCGUAGGUGGCCAGCUAAGUCGUACGUGAAAUCCCUCAGCUUAACUGGGGAACUGCGUCUGAUACUGGAUGGCUUGAGUUUGGGAGAGGGAUGCGGAAUUCCAGGUGUAGCGGUGAAAUGCGUAGAUAUCAGGAGGAACACCGAUGGCGAAGGCAGGUCUCUGGGCCACUACUGACGCUGAGAAGCGAAAGCAUGGGGAGCGAACAGG
RNAcentral lists this ribosomal RNA (253 nucleotides) under uncultured bacterium. RNAcentral's name for it is "partial 16S ribosomal RNA". It matches the Rfam family "Bacterial small subunit ribosomal RNA", at positions 524 to 776 of the family's 1533-position model. The record is from RNAcentral.